UCAACCCUCAAGCCCGGCUUGUUAUUGGGUCCUUAUCGUUAAAGAUAGGCCCGAAAGAUAAUGGCGGCGUCACAAAUGACCCCAGAUGCAGCGAGCUUAUACAGCAUACAUUGAAAGGUUUUUGUGGCCCGGCCUUAACGAGAAGCAAUUCUCAAUUUUUCAAA
Molecule: unclassified non-coding RNA, 164 nt
Filed under: uncultured Phaeomoniella
Lineage: Eukaryota; Fungi; Ascomycota; Eurotiomycetes; Phaeomoniellales
Description: sequence contains ITS2
Source: RNAcentral